RNAcentral lists this ribosomal RNA (254 nucleotides) under uncultured bacterium. RNAcentral's name for it is "partial 16S ribosomal RNA". It matches the Rfam family "Bacterial small subunit ribosomal RNA", at positions 524 to 776 of the family's 1533-position model. The record is from RNAcentral.
GACGAACCGUGCGAACGUUAUUCGGAAUCACUGGGCUUAAAGCGCGUGUAGGCGGGACGGCACGUCUGUCGCUGAAAUCCCCCGGCUUAACCGGGGAACUGGCGGAGAUACGACCGUCCUGGAGGGGCGUAGGGGGACCUGGAACUUCCGGUGGAGCGGUGAAAUGCGUUGAGAUCGGAAGGAACGCCCGUGGCGAAAGCGAGGUCCUGGACGCCUACUGACGCUGAGACGCGAAAGCGUGGGGAGCGAACAGG